UGAGGUCUCCUGCCAUUGCCUUCCGAGAUCACCCGCCGCCGCUGCCGCCCCCGAGCUCUCCCUUCGGCGCCACCAGUGCUCUGUUCCGCGCGAACCACCGUCGCCGCUGCUCUGCAAGCCCUCGCGAGAAACGUCGCCUCCCGCUGCUGUCGCUCCGCCGGCGCACGCAACCGCCACCCUGGAGACCACUAUGUGCCGCCCCC
This 203-nucleotide long non-coding RNA is filed under the name Brachypodium distachyon (stiff brome). RNAcentral's name for it is "long non-coding RNA (BDIS_LNC000286)". The record is from RNAcentral. Lineage: Eukaryota; Viridiplantae; Streptophyta; Magnoliopsida; Poales; Poaceae.